Magnolia sinica is the source of this 347-nucleotide long non-coding RNA. RefSeq lists it as uncharacterized. The transcript has 3 exons. The record is from RefSeq and is a predicted model, not a curated record. NCBI's taxonomy places the organism in Eukaryota, Viridiplantae, Streptophyta, Magnoliopsida, Magnoliales, Magnoliaceae.
CUCACUUUUAUUUUGCCUCGUAGCAAAUAUCGGGGUCUUAGAUCAUAAUUUCUGCUUUUGUCCAACAGCGAUCUUUCUCGCAACUAUCUCAAUGGAUCGAUCCCUGCAGCAUGGGCUUCCCUUCCUCUCACCGAUUUGUCGCUUUUGGGAAAUCACAUUUCUGGAACAAUUCCAAAGGAGCUAGGAAACAUCAUGACACUCAAGUCACUAGUCAUUGAAGUUAACGAGGUCGAAGGACCUCUUCCUCCAGAGCUUGGUAAUUUGCGUAGCUUGGAGAGAUUGUAAGAUUCUCUGUUUUGCCACUGCAAUUUUUAUUUUUUUUAUUUUUCAAAUAGUGACAUAAUUCU